UAGCCGUAAACGAUACUCGCUAGGUGUCGGCCACGGUGCGACCGUUGUCGGUGCCGUAGGGAAGCCGUGAAGCGAGCCACCUGGGAAGUACGGCCGCAAGGCUGAAACUUAAAGGAAUUGGCGGGGGAGCACCACAACGGGUGGAGCUUGCGGUUUAAUUGGAUUCAACGCCGGAAAUCUUAUCGGGACCGACAGCAACAUGAAGGCCAGGCUGAAGACUUUGCCGGAUUAGCUGAGAGGAGGUGCAUGGCGUAGUCGUGU
This 261-nucleotide ribosomal RNA is filed under the name uncultured archaeon. Its description in RNAcentral is "partial 16S ribosomal RNA". It matches the Rfam family "Archaeal small subunit ribosomal RNA", at positions 748 to 1009 of the family's 1478-position model. The record is from RNAcentral.